This 468-nucleotide ribosomal RNA is filed under the name uncultured bacterium. RNAcentral's name for it is "partial 16S ribosomal RNA". It matches the Rfam family "Bacterial small subunit ribosomal RNA", at positions 28 to 507 of the family's 1533-position model. The record is from RNAcentral.
GACGAACGCUGGCGGCGUGCUUAAUACAUGCCAGUCGAACGGAAAGGCCCUGCGCUUGUGGGGUGCUCGAGUGGCGAACGGGUGAGUAACACGUGAGUAACCUGCCCUUGACUUUGGGAUAACUUCAGGAAACUGGGGCUAAUACAGGAUAGGAGCUCCUGCUGCAUGGUGGGGGUUGGAGAGUUUCGGCGGUUGGGGAUGGACUCGCGGCUUAUCAGCUUGUUGGUGGGGUAGUGGUUUACCACGGCUGUGAAGGGUAGCCGGCCUGAGAGGGUGACCGGCCACAUUGGGACUGAGAUACGGCCCAGACUCCUACGGGAGGCAGCAGUGGGGAAUAUUGCAGAAUGGGCGGAAGCCUGAUGCAGCAACGCCGCGUGCGGGAUGACGGCCUUCGGGUUGUAAACCGCUUUCGCAUGUGACGAAGCGUGAGUGACGGUAAUGGGUAAAGAAGCACCGGCUAACUACGUG